This 239-nucleotide ribosomal RNA is filed under the name uncultured bacterium. RNAcentral's name for it is "partial 16S ribosomal RNA". It matches the Rfam family "Bacterial small subunit ribosomal RNA", at positions 524 to 776 of the family's 1533-position model. The record is from RNAcentral.
AACGGAGGGGACUAGCGUUACUCAUCAUGACUGGGCGUAAAGGGUUCGUAGGCGGUCUGGUAAGUUUUAUACUAAGUAGUGAAGUAUAAAAAACUGCCUAACUAGAGUUUUAUGGAAGAUAGCAGUACUCUUAAUGGAGGGGUGAAAUCCUUAGAUAUUAACGGGGACUAUCGGUGGCGAAGGCGGCUAUCUAUGUAAUUAACUGACGCUGAGGAACGAAAGUAUAGGGAGCGAACAGG